This 61-nucleotide transfer RNA is filed under the name Camelus bactrianus (Bactrian camel). It matches the Rfam family "tRNA", at positions 6 to 65 of the family's 71-position model. From Rfam's summary of the family: Transfer RNA (tRNA) molecules are approximately 80 nucleotides in length. Their secondary structure includes four short double-helical elements and three loops (D, anti-codon, and T loops). The record is from Rfam by way of RNAcentral. Lineage: Eukaryota; Metazoa; Chordata; Mammalia; Artiodactyla; Camelidae. RNAcentral also lists the same sequence under 2 other names.
UAUAGCUCAGUGGUGGAGUGUGUGCUUAGCAUGCACGAAGUCCUGAGUUCAAUUCCCAGUA